AAUGAACGCUGGCGGCAUGCCUUACACAUGCAAGUCGAACGGCAGCAUGACCUAGCUUGCUAGGUUGAUGGCGAGUGGCGAACGGGUGAGUAAUGCAUCGGAACGUGCCUUUUAGUGGGGGAUAACGUAGCGAAAGUUACGCUAAUACCGCAUAUUCUCUGAGGUGGAAAGCAGGGGACCUUCGGGCCUUGCGCUAGAAGAGCGGCCGAUGUCGGAUUAGCUAGUUGGUGAGGUAAAGGCUCACCAAGGCAACGAUCCGUAGCGGGUCUGAGAGGAUGAUCCGCCACACUGGGACUGAGACACGGCCCAGACUCCUACGGGAGGCAGCAGUGGGGAAUUUUGGACAAUGGGCGCAAGCCUGAUCCAGCCAUGCCGCGUGAGUGAAGAAGGCCUUCGGGUUGUAAAGCUCUUUCGGCUGGGAAGAAAUCGCACCCUCUAAUACAGGGUGUGGAUGACGGUACCAGCAUAAGAAGCACCGGCUAACUACGUG
Molecule: ribosomal RNA, 490 nt
Filed under: uncultured bacterium
Lineage: Bacteria
Description: partial 16S ribosomal RNA
Rfam family: Bacterial small subunit ribosomal RNA
Source: RNAcentral